This 253-nucleotide ribosomal RNA is filed under the name uncultured bacterium. Its description in RNAcentral is "partial 16S ribosomal RNA". It matches the Rfam family "Bacterial small subunit ribosomal RNA", at positions 524 to 776 of the family's 1533-position model. The record is from RNAcentral.
UACGGAGGAUGCAAGCGUUAUCCGGAAUUAUUGGGCGUAAAGCGUCCGUAGGUGGCUAAUCAAGUCUGCUGUCAAAGCGUGGAGCUUAACUCCAUACCGGCGGUGGAAACUGAUGAGCUAGAGUGCGAUAGGGGUAGUAGGAAUUCCCAGUGUAGCGGUGAAAUGCGUAGAGAUUGGGAAGAACACCAGCGGCGAAGGCACUUUACUGGGCUAUUACUAACACUCAGAGACGAAAGCUAGGGUAGCAAAUGGG